This 72-nucleotide transfer RNA is filed under the name Electrona carlsbergi. RNAcentral's name for it is "tRNA-Tyr". It matches the Rfam family "tRNA". Rfam says of the family: Transfer RNA (tRNA) molecules are approximately 80 nucleotides in length. The record is from RNAcentral. Lineage: Eukaryota; Metazoa; Chordata; Actinopteri; Myctophiformes; Myctophidae.
GUCAUGAUGGCUGAGUGUUUAAGUGGCGGGUUGUAGCCCCGAGGACAGAGGUUUAAAUCCUCUUCAUGUCAU